UGCGGCUGGAUCCCCUCCUUUCUGGAACGCCGAGUAGAGCCGCGGAGCAACGCGGAUAAAGAAAGGCCGCUCACAGGUCGCCCGCACUUCCGGGCCCUUCCCACGUCAAUUAGUCCGCUCUUUGACAAAUGAUGAACGGUAUGGGUUAGUGGGUGUCGAGAAUUUUGCACCCGUGGAGUAAGUCGGUGAGGUGGUGGAUCUCAAGCUAUGAGAUCAAGCAGCGUACGGCGCACGGUGGAUGCCUUGGCA
This 249-nucleotide unclassified non-coding RNA is filed under the name uncultured Actinomycetes bacterium. RNAcentral's name for it is "uncultured actinobacterium partial contains 16S ribosomal RNA, 16S-23S ribosomal RNA intergenic spacer, and 23S ribosomal RNA". Lineage: Bacteria; Bacillati; Actinomycetota; Actinomycetes. The record is from RNAcentral.